Non-coding RNA from Pelobates cultripes (western spadefoot toad), 309 nucleotides. The record is from the annotation of a GenBank genome assembly. NCBI's taxonomy places the organism in Eukaryota, Metazoa, Chordata, Amphibia, Anura, Pelobatidae.
GGCCGCUGGCACCAGUCACACUGUAAGUGCUUGGCUUUUCUAUAGAGUGCUUUGAUCACAGGGUGUCCACCCCCUUACCCUGCUUCAUAAUGAGGUCUCCUGAGAUAGCUACAAGUUGACAGAAUUAAGCGUCUGGGACAAACUGGUCGCCACAUUCCAACCAACAUUCCAGGAUCUGCAACAUCUCCUCAGCAUUCCACCAGGGGCAAUGAGCCUAACCCGGUAUCUCCAUUCCAAGCCAGUUCCCCAGUCAUUCUCCCAUCCACACCUGUCAUUGAUGAGACUAGUUUGCAACAUUGUGACUCAUGA